UACAGAGGGUGCGAGCGUUAAUCGGAAUUACUGGGCGUAAAGCGCACGUAGUCGGCUUUGCAAGUCGGGUGUGAAAUCCCCGGGCUUAACCCGGGAACUGCGUCCGAUACUGGCAGGCUUGAAUCCGGGAGAGGGAUGUGGAAUUCCAGGUGUAGCGGUGAAAUGCGUAGAUAUCUGGAGGAACACCGGUGGCGAAGGCGGCAUCCUGGACCGGUAUUGACACUGAGGCGCGAAAGCUAGGGGAGCAAACGGG
This 253-nucleotide ribosomal RNA is filed under the name uncultured bacterium. RNAcentral's name for it is "partial 16S ribosomal RNA". It matches the Rfam family "Bacterial small subunit ribosomal RNA", at positions 524 to 776 of the family's 1533-position model. The record is from RNAcentral.